ACUUGGGGGGCGGCCUCGGUGUGCCAAAAAUAGGCCACGGGCACAGCCGCGCCCAAAAAUCAGCCCCCGAAGGUCGGGGUCCCAAGACCCCCCAGCGGAAAAAUGGCCAAAAAACGGGUGGGCUAUAGCCUUGGUGGGGGGCGUGGGCGAAGUUCGUCCGCGGGACUCGGAAUGGCACCAUACUUGGCGGGCGGCCUCCGUGUGCCAAAAAUAGGCCACGGACACAGCCGCGCCCAAUAAUCUGCCCCCGAAGGUCGGGGUCCCAAGACCCCCCAGCGGAAAAAUGGCCAAAAAACGGGUGGGCUAUAGCCUAUGUGGGCGUGGGCGAAGUUCGUCCGCGGGACUCGGAAUGCCCCCAGACUUGGCGGGCUUCCUCCGUGUGCCAAAAAUAGGCCACGGGCACAGCCGCGCCCAAAAAGCAGCCCCCGAAGGUCGGGCUCCCAAGACCCCCCAGCGGAAAAAUGGCCAAAAAAUGGGUGGGCUAUAGCCUAUGUGGGGGGCGUGGGCGAAGUUCGUCCGCGGGACUCGGAAUGGCCCCAGACUUGGUGGGUGGCCUCCGUGUGCCAAAAAUAGGCCACGGGCACAGCCGCGCCUAAAA
RNAcentral lists this long non-coding RNA (598 nucleotides) under Citrus x clementina. RNAcentral's name for it is "Citrus clementina (C. clementina) long non-coding RNA (CCLE_LNC004868)". The record is from RNAcentral. Lineage: Eukaryota; Viridiplantae; Streptophyta; Magnoliopsida; Sapindales; Rutaceae.